RNAcentral lists this long non-coding RNA (375 nucleotides) under Carica papaya (papaya). RNAcentral describes it as "long non-coding RNA (CPAP_LNC016529)". Lineage: Eukaryota; Viridiplantae; Streptophyta; Magnoliopsida; Brassicales; Caricaceae. The record is from RNAcentral.
CAUAUAUAAUGCAUCAAGUGUCUUGUUAGGUUUUUUAUCUUUGAGGGAUUUUUUUUUUCUCCCUCCCCCAUCUAGUCUGGAAUGACGUGAGAGAACCGCUCCCUAUGGAUGACGGCGUACCCUCUAACGAGAGUGGUGAUGUGAAUUAUCUGUUAGGGGUCACAUUUGGCUAAGUAUUGUCGUGGGUAUAGACUAUCUGAUAGAACCACUGUGGUUGGCACAACCGUGGUCAUAGAUUGUGUCAUAGUUUGGCAAGCCAAAAAUGUGUCAUGAGCAAAUUACCAAUAUAUAUCUGACCUUGUCAUUCCACAUGGGUAGUUGGAAAUCUGUAUCUGCCUUCAGUAGAUGGAAAUCGGAUCGGCUUCGCAAAGUAUG